Long non-coding RNA from Gasterosteus aculeatus aculeatus (three-spined stickleback), 7013 nucleotides. The record is from Ensembl. NCBI's taxonomy places the organism in Eukaryota, Metazoa, Chordata, Actinopteri, Perciformes, Gasterosteidae.
ACUAAUUAGCUUUCAUGAACUGAAAACACACUGGAAAAAGUGGUAGGGCGAAACACAGCAGAGCCCAGAGGCUUUGAUGGCCAUUUGGAAGGAUUCAAAUUUAUUACAAUUCCCUAUUCCACAAUUCUCAACACAUCUGUGCAGCUCUUCCUUUCCCUUUGUUAUUCUUUUUGUAUAGAACAUGCCAUACUUGCUGGGUGUAUGAACACGUGUGUGCACUCUCAGGCAGCCUGGUGUGUGAUUAUCAUUGUUUAUAAACAGUUGUACCCAAUGUAUGUGUCACAAACAUGCUUAUUUUCCUCUUUUUUUCUCUUUCACUUUUCUCCUGUAAUUCUCUUGUUGUGUCCCUUUCCAUUUUUAUGUCUAUCUCUCCCCAUUGUUCUCAACCCUUUUCACACCCUUCUUCUUUAUUGAUACUUGCAUCACCCUUCUUUCAAGUCAUCCACUUGUAUUCCCAUGCUCAUCCCAAACAUCUCCUUCCUCCCAUUAUCCCCUCCCUCCUCUGUAUUGGCCCACUGCUUUGUUCCUGCAACUCUACCCACACCUCUUACACCCCCCUUCCCUGUGCAUCUAAGUGGGCUUUGAAGAGUUAAUGUUGAGACGUGAUAUCCCACUCUGUGCUGCCUCCAGAUAUCUAUUAAAGAGGCACAGCUCUCUAUCACAGCUUCGACACCAGAUGUUGCUUGCAUCUCCACUCAUUGCAGAUGUAAUGGGCCUGAAUGCUGCAGUUUGCGACUUCACUGGCAUCCAUCCUGUGCGAUGCAGCACCAGAGGAAAAACAAGUGAGAGACAGAGAGCGAGACCCGGAGAGGGAGAUGUGUAAUUAUCCUCCAUUACGACAAAGUAUUUUAUUUCCCCCAGCAGCAGAGGACAAUUCCGUGUCAAAAUGACAGCUAUCAAAGUAAAGAUGGGCGUUCUGAUUCAGAGACUGGGUGAAGAUUUGCUGGAGUAUCACUGUUUUCCUGUCUGUGAAUCUGUGUACAUUCUAGGAUAUUAGUGUGUUUGUGUGGGGAGUGUGGACUUUUAUUUUAGGUUUUGGUAAAAGCUUAUGAUAACAAACAGUGGUAUUUAUACGUGGAAUUUGAGAAGAAAUUGAUGAAAGGGUGUGGAAGAUUACCAUUUAUGCCAUAUAAAAUAUUACUAAAUGUGUAUGAUCAUUUUUACAUCUGUAAACAAUGAUAACAAUAUAAUAAUGAUAAAUAAUGAUAAAAGAAGCGGAUGCAGACACCGUGACAUCAGUCAUUUAUGAACGACUGUUCUGAAGUCUUGACUUAGGCCAUCUUGUUUUUUUUGCAGCAAGACAAGAUUAUAUUUGAAGUAGAGGAGUAAAGCAAACAUUAAGUUACCAUCCAGCACUAGCUGACGCAUCAUUUUCAUAUACGUAACCUCCAUUAACUGAGAUAUUGGUUGAUGUUGAUAUUUUGUUAGAGUAUAUUUAGUACAAUCCAACACUGAACAAGACAUUUAUUGUUAUAUUAUGUUAUCAUCAGGUAUUAACCGGACAAACAUUCAGAGAGCAAUACUCUCUGACAAACAGUAGACUGACGGUGCCAGGUUUCUGUUUGUCAUGCACAACCUUCGCCGCAGCAGAUGACAAAUAAAUCUCUUCAUCUGCGUUGCUGUUAUUCCGCUUCACAUUUGAUCUUGCAGGAUGUGGUUGCAGACAAUCAAAAUCAUAAUUAUGGAUACAGUGCAGCGAGGGGGGCAUUUUAUAAUAUGUCUCUGAGAUGACCAGCGUUCAUAUUUAUUUUUAUAGGGGUCUCUGUGCAAGCAACAAACUUGAUUUAUUUCCUUCUCCUUUUAAGGGUGCAAGACCCAGACAUUCAGAAAUGAAGUGGAACGCUGCUAAGAAUUUCAAAUGCUCUUUUAAUACAUCCCCCUCAUAUUGACGUUUAGCUGAGGAUCCGUCUUUUUUAUUUCUGUCGUUUCUAGCGCUGCAGCCAUUGGUAUAUUUGUGUGUGUGGGUGUGAGAGUGUGUGUGGCAACAUUUAUUUCCCCUCAUCGUCUGUUGAGAGAGGUAUGUGCGGCGAGGGUGGGAGUGUAAUGGUAAUCAUUUUUUUGUGAGAGCGCCCAGGGUCUGAAGUGGCUGUUGCAGAGGACUUUUAGAUUGAUCUUGCAACACACACACACACACACACACACACACACACACAGACAAACACACAAGCCCUAAAGAAGAUAUGCUAUGUGGAUUGCAUCCACCACCCCCUGCUUUCCCUCCCUCUACGCCGCCAUUUGAUUAAUGAUCCAAAUAUGUGGAUAAAAAAAUCAAAACAACUCGUCAAAUCUAGGGAAGAUGCAGCUUAAGGAUGAAACUACUGACUAACGAGGGGAACAUCGUUUUUCUCCAGGAAACAACUCUUAUUUGGUCUUUUUUUAAAUUUCCAUUUGUGUUUGACUUGGAUAUUGUACCAUGCAGGUAUUGAUACCCUCUAAUAGGAAUUUAAUAAAUAUGGAAAAAUAUUCAGAUAUUGCUCAAUCAAAGUACACUGCUAUGACAUUAAGAUAUUUCACUGUGGUGUAUGUGUGUGGUACCCCAGUGAGUAUAUUGGGUGCUUUAAAUUUGCAGUUGUGCCCACUUCUUACACAGUGGACCACUAAUUGACAUUUUCAUUAAUAGCAAAUAUAUGUCCCUGUCUGUAAUAAUGACCCUUUUCCAAGCAGCGCCAGGGGCCCUGCUAAUGAAGGUUGGAAUAGAGGCACGAAACUAGUUCAAUUAUGAUGGAGAAAAACAGAUAUAUGCUUGAAGGUGUGGCAAGAAGGGGGCAGAUCAUGGCGGAAGAUGGCUGAAGGUGUUGAGGUGAUUCUAUGCGUAGUGAAAGGAGAUCACUUCACAAAUAACACAACUGAUCAAGCAAAAACCAAACCUUUUGAUCAAUCCCAAUCUCAUGUACUGUUGUGACUAAAUGUACUGAACAGGAAGUGGCCAUCUGGAACAGCACAGGGUUUUCACUGGUGGACCGGUCAGCCAGCAGGCAUAGCUGACACAAAUAUAAUUUUUAAAUGGCGUGCCAACUGGUAAGGUAAUGGGUUAAUUAGGGGUGUAACGAUUCAUUUUAACAACGAUUCGAUUUGAAUCGCGAUUCAUGGUUGCCGAUUCGAUUCAUGGACGAUCUGGGUUAAUUUAGAACGAUUCGAUUCGAUUCAGUGCCUUUAAAUCGAUUCAGUAACUUUACUGGACAGUGCAGGCAAAGUUUCUGAGAUCCCUUCCGUUUCUUGUAAGGAAAUCAGGUUUAAAUUAAUUAUGGAUAUUAUAAACAAGCAAACAACAAUUAAUGGCUAAUGUAUUAACCUUUUAUUUGAAUCAAGUGCCAUUUUCAAUGUAAACAUUACACAAUAAUUACACAAUGUUUGGAUCAAUUUACAGAACACCGGAUUUUCAACCACAUUGUAGGGUCGCAUGUCUUUACAGCUAAACUUGGCAAUUGUUACUGUGAUGUUGAGUUUCGUGCUGGCGAGGCCUGAGGUGUCUGCAGAGCUGGAGUUACCUUCUGCUGCUGCUGCAGCGGUAACGCUGCUAGAGGUGCCUAACUGUCGGCGUUGUUUAAUCCCACGGCGCCUUAGUCAAUGGCCGGAAAGAUUCGUUGUGUUUCCGUGGUUUUUUAUUUGGCUUCUACAUAUUCUACAAACAGCGACCGACUUAUUUAGAACACCUCCGUUUUUGCAAAAGCCAAAAUGUUUCCACGCGCUGGAUCGAUAAGUUAGUUUGUAAUAAAUGUCUCACUCGCAGUCGUCUCCUCCACGCUGUGUUUUGUUCGGCUGCCGCUGCGUACUGAUGACGUCACAGACAGGCAGACUGAAUCGAGUAACGUUUAACGUGUCUAAAGUGCUAAAAAACAAACGAAAAAACACACAUCCAAACCGUUUUCUUACUUAAAUCCAAUCUGCAGUUUCCAAGUAUCGAUACAAUUCGAUUAUGUACCAUUUCAAUCUAUUUGUAAUCGAUAUAUGUCGUCCGGAAUGCCGAUGUGCAGAGCACAGAUUGAUUCAGUUGGAUCGCAGGAAUAUAAAUCGAUUAAUCUAUUCAGUGAAUGAAUCGUUACACCCCUAGAGUUAAUCAUAGCUCAAGAAUCUCCUUUACUAUGACCUUUCAAAAUGAAGAUGCCCGAUAAUGUUCUAAACAAGAAUGAGACCGACCACCUUACAAGACACAUUACAGCAUUGGUCAUUUCAGCAUUCAUUUGUGUAAGUUCAAGUGACAAAAACUACUGGUCCUGGGAAUUGUGAUUGCUUUUUUUAGGUCAUAAUGGGUUUUGGAGAGGUCUGAUUCCUCUGUUUUUCAACAUUUACUGAAUCUGGAGUACUUUUAAGCCACAUGAGGGCGGACUGUUCACAUAGUUCUGAUGUGUAGCCUAUUGAUGAAAUAACAUAUGAUAUGAAAGAUAAGCACAGACUUUUUGUUUAACUCAUGAUUUCUUUGGGCUUUAUUUUUUAUUUCUUUAAAAUAUGUUUUUAUCUAUUCAAGAUAACAUGCGGUGAUGUAGAAAUUGAAGUAAAAAUGUGUUCUUUUGACAAUUUACAUGGCAAGACCUAUUGUUAAUUGGGUCCAGAUGUUUUUGUGUUGAAAGAGUGGGUCCCCGGAGAAAAGAUCAGGAGACAUUGCCCAUUGCCCGAGACAUUGUGUUUUUAUUACCACAUAGUCCUAAAAGUCAAGGUUCAGUCUCUACCUCUGAGGACCUGACUGAGAGGUCAUCAGUAGAAUGAUGGGAUCUUGUUGGUUUGAUGGGUAAACCCCUACAACUUGUACAAGUCUUUAGCUGUCACAGUCUAGAGUCAGUCUUUCACUGUGAUAACUCAUUUUAUAUAUCCAAGGAGCAAAUCAUACAACUGCUUUGAACGAAUCUGUGUUUAUGUUGACUUUAUCAGGCAACGUUGCAAUAAUAUAAGAAUUGAUUAUAACAUAUGAAAUUAGUAUCUACAGUCAGAGUGAGUAUGGGAUUGAUGGAAUUGAUCAAUUCUGGGUUCUGGAGUCUGCAUCACAUUUUAGAGAAUUUCUAAGAUGACAUUAUCUUUAGUCCUUUAAAAUGUUCCACCUAACUUCAAUAUAAAGAAAAUGGGAUAGAUUUACCUUCUUGUUUCGGCUACUUACUUCUAAAAGAAAUUGUUUUCAGUAUCACUUCAGUGAUCACAUGGGCAGUUUGUUGGUAAAAAAAUCUUUACGUUCUACCUGGCAAAUAAAGCUGGUUGUGAUGAGGCCGAUUCUGACACUGAUGUAGCCGGGACUGCCCUCCAGUUCCUCCCCCUCCUGGCCAUACAGAGUAUUUCUCCUAGAAUAAUUUGGUUGACACACACACAGCGGGAGAACAAGUAUUUUAUAUAUAUAUAUAUAUAUAUAUAUAUAUAUAUAUAUACACAUUUAGCAGUUGAUUCCAUGACAAAUAUUUGUCACUUUGCUACGAUUUUCAGAACGUUUCAUUCCAACCGGUCAUUUUUCAAAACUCAACUCAAGACGGUUGUCACUUGUAACACAGGCGGUCUGAUGUUCAAAACAUUGCAUUGUGCAUUCAAAUCUUUAAAGAAAUCUUGCACAAUCAAUUGUUCAAAAAACAAAUUUACUGUGAAAUACUAUUGAAACAUAACUAUAGAUCACCCACACACAAGCAACCGAUAGUGUCACUGUGUCAUUAUUUGUAUAUUCAUUAAAUACUGUAGAACAAAAUAGGUGAUACAGGUUUCAUUAAGGUACUACAUGUACAGUAAUACAUCUCUGUAAAAGUACUGCAGUAGUAGAAAGAAUACUACAGAAAUCAUUGAACAAAGUUUGUAAUAUACUGAUGCAAAAUACUACAGUACAAUCACAACAUCGGUUUAUUUGAAUCAAAGCAAAAAUAAUUCUCUAUAAAAUAGGAAACACAGUACUGUAAAAUAUCAAAUGCAGUCCAAACAUCUUGGAAAAAAAAUGUCGGGCAUUGCGAAUCCAGGCCUGAUACUGGUCUGCUGUGAUGUCAUUGCAGCAGUGUUCCAUCGCCUAGAGAAGAGUGACUUGUUCAAGAGGGUGCCUAUCAUGAACCUGCCAUCUCUGUGCCAAGAAAAAUUCCUCAAUCGGGUUAAGGAAGGCAGAGCAUGGGGGUAAAUACAGGGUGGUAAAUUGUGCAUAGCCCUGUGUUACGCCCCAGUCUAGGGGUGCCUAAGGUGCAACAUGGAUAGGCCCCAAUCUUCCCCGUCUCCCAAGUAGCCACACACACACUUUGCGUUAUAUAGGGGAUAUUUAUUGAACAAAAGAGGUAGGUUGAGUAAACAAGGUAUGUUGGGGUAGAAAAAUCCACGGCUUCGCCGUUGCCCAUCCCCAAUGUAAUAAACAAACCAAAAAACGAUCCUAGCUAAAAAUAAGACGCUGACCUACCAAAACAAAGGAGAAAAAUAAUGACACCAGUCUUACCUACCUAUCAACUUUAAAACAGGAGAAAACCAACUCAAAAGAAAAACGGCAUACUUAUUAGGCUUCACAGUAUAACACAAGUGGCUGGUUGGGAGAGGAGGAGGACGAGGGUUGUGUGCUGCUGCUGUUCUCCCCGCUCUGGCCUGCUAUGCCUCGGACGCCAUCUUUGCUUCCCUUAUAUGCAGGCUGCAGCCAAUCCCAGGACGGGUAGGAGACCGUCCACCAAUCCGCGCCUGGUUGUGGCACAUCCCUGUUUGAAUGAAGGGAACCCAGAAAGACAAAAAGGAAACCCCAAAACACUAUAGACAUAUGACCCCAGUCAUAACACCUGAAACCAUGCUUGCACCACAUGAGCAUAAUGGAACCUGACAUUGUCCCACACAAUGACAUAAGUCACACCUUCAGCUCUACAAACCUGAUCGAGCUCAUCAAGAAAGGUGACAAGGAGAACUGCAUUAUAUGGUCCAAUAUGAGGUCUGCGUCCCACCACCCCAUCUUCUGACAUAGCCGUACACAUGGUAAUGAAAUCCACGUUGUCCAGGUACUUGGAUGGUUGACAGCUGGCCAAUAAAAUUCCGACCUCUCCUCCUUGUACUGCCCAGGUUAAAACCCGCCUCAUCCAAAUAUAUAUAUA